GGCGCAGUGGCAGAGUGGUCUAAUGCGCAAGACUAGAAUCGUCGGGUUCCAACGACCCCGGUUGCUAUCUUGUUCCUUCGGGAGCGUCUGUUCGAAUCAGGCCUGCGUCG
Xylariales sp. PMI_506 is the source of this 110-nucleotide non-coding RNA. NCBI's taxonomy places the organism in Eukaryota, Fungi, Ascomycota, Sordariomycetes, Xylariales. The record is from the annotation of a GenBank genome assembly.